GACGAACGCUGGCGGCGUGCUUAACACAUGCAAGUCGAACGGAAAGGCCCUGCUUUUGUGGGGUGCUCGAGUGGCGAACGGGUGAGUAACACGUGAGUAACCUGCCCUUGUCUUUGGGAUAACUUCAGGAAACUGGGGCUAAUACCGGAUAGGAGCUCCUGCUGCAUGGUGGGGGUUGGAAAGUUUCGGCGGUUGGGGAUGGACUCGCGGCUUAUCAGCUUGUUGGUGGGGUAGUGGCUUACCAAGGCUUUGACGGGUAGCCGGCCUGAGAGGGUGACCGGCCACAUGGGGACUGAGAUACGGCCCAGACGCCUACGGGAGGCAGCAGUGGGGAAUAUUGCACAAUGGGCGGAAGCCUGAUGUAGCAACGCCGCGUGCGGGAUGACGGCCUUCGGGUUGUAAACCGCUUUCGCCUGUGACGAAGCGUGAGUGACGGUAAUGGGUAAAGAAGCACCGGCUAACUACGUG
This 468-nucleotide ribosomal RNA is filed under the name uncultured bacterium. RNAcentral describes it as "partial 16S ribosomal RNA". It matches the Rfam family "Bacterial small subunit ribosomal RNA", at positions 28 to 507 of the family's 1533-position model. The record is from RNAcentral.